AGUAUUUCAACUGCAGGGAUCGCUGUUUCAAAAGGUAAGGUGGAAGACAGCAGGGAUCACUGUUUCAAAAGGUAAGGUGGAAGACAGCAGGGAUCACUGUUUCAAAAGGUGGAAGACAGCAGGGAUCACUGUUUCAAAAGGUAAGGUGGAAGACAGUAGGGAUCACUGUUUCAAAAGGUAAGGUGGAAGACAGUAGGGAUCACUGUUUCAAAAGGUAAGGUGGAAGACAGUAGGGAUCACUGUUUCAAAAGGUAAGGUGGAAGACAGUAGGGAUCACUGUUUCAAAAGGUAAGGUGGAAGACAGCAGGGAUCACUGUUUCAAAAGGUAAGGUGGAAGACAGCAGGGAUCACUGUUUCAAAAGGUAAGGUGGAAGACAGUA
Molecule: non-coding RNA, 380 nt
Organism: Salmo salar (Atlantic salmon)
Lineage: Eukaryota; Metazoa; Chordata; Actinopteri; Salmoniformes; Salmonidae
Source: RefSeq, a predicted model, not a curated record